GAGAAUGGAGAAUUUUUUAGAAUGAGUUUUAUGUUACAAAUGCAGUACUUGUUGAUCUUUUAGAACGAGGAGAAUGGAGAUUUUUUUUAGAGUGAGGUGAAUGGGGAGUUUUUUAGAAUGAGUUUUAUGUUACAAAUGGAGUACUAGCUUGCUGAUCUUUUAGAAUGAGAAGAAUGGAGAGUUUUUUAGAGUGAGGUGAAUGUGGAGUUUUUUAUAAUGAGUUUUAUGUUACAAAUGGAGUACUAGCUUGUUGAUCUUUUAGAGUGAGGAGAAUGGAGAGUUUUUUAGAAUGAGUUUUAUGUUACAAAUGGAGUACUUGUUGAUCUUUUAGAACGAGGAGAAUUGAGAGUUUUUUAACUAUCUUUCCCCUAACUAAUCUAAUACGAAGCUCUAUGUCCAUUUUUUACGUAAGACGAUGCCGAUGGAUCGGCAAUGGAUGUAACACCUCCGCUCCUCCAAUACCAGAGAA
Molecule: long non-coding RNA, 469 nt
Filed under: Setaria viridis
Lineage: Eukaryota; Viridiplantae; Streptophyta; Magnoliopsida; Poales; Poaceae
Description: long non-coding RNA (SVIR_LNC011259)
Source: RNAcentral